Molecule: ribosomal RNA, 494 nt
Filed under: uncultured bacterium
Lineage: Bacteria
Description: partial 16S ribosomal RNA
Rfam family: Bacterial small subunit ribosomal RNA
Source: RNAcentral
AUUGAACGCUGGCGGCAUGCUUUACACAUGCAAGUCGAACGGCAGCGGGGAGGAGCUUGCUUCUCUGCCGGCGAGUGGCGAACGGGUGAGUAAUACAUCGGAACGUGUCGAGAAGAGGGGGAUAACCACCCGAAAGGGUGGCUAAUACCGCAUAAAUUCUGAGGAAGAAAGCUGGGGACCUAGGAAUAGGCCUAGCGCUUUUUGAGCGGCCGAUGUCGGAUUAGCUAGUUGGUGAGGUAAAGGCUCACCAAGGCGAAGAUCUGUAGCGGGUCUGAGAGGAUGAUCCGCCACACUGGGACUGAGACACGGCCCAGACUCCUACGGGAGGCAGCAGUGGGGAAUUUUGGACAAUGGGGGCAACCCUGAUCCAGCCAUGCCGCGUGUAUGAAGAAGGCCUUAGGGUUGUAAAGUACUUUUGUUAGGGAAGAAAAGUCAGCUGUGAAUAAUGGCUGAUACUGACGGUACCUAAAGAAUAAGCUCCGGCUAACUACGUG